This 1057-nucleotide long non-coding RNA is filed under the name Equus caballus (horse). RNAcentral describes it as "lncRNA (ENSECAG00000053820.1)". Lineage: Eukaryota; Metazoa; Chordata; Mammalia; Perissodactyla; Equidae. The record is from RNAcentral.
GUUAAAUAAAUGAGUUUCAAUAAAUGGAUCAAUAGUCUGUUUUCCCAAAACCUCAUUUCCCACAACAUCCUAGGAAUAACUCACAGAUAUGAAGGGCUGGCUUCCCAGUUGACAAGUUGCUCUCACAUACUUUUAUUGCAUUUUAUCUUUACAACAACCCUAUGGGAAAGCCAAAGCUGACAUUAGCCUCAUUUUGCAGAUAAUUGUUAUCCCCAUUUUGCUGAUGAGAAAGUUGAGGCUGGGAGAAGGUCAUGACUUGCUCAAGGUCAUAGGCUGAGAAGGACAGAAGCCAGGGUUCCUUCCCCAGAGGCUUGUCAUUCACCCUGCACUGUUUCCAACUGAAUGGCCGGGCAAAGAGGUUCGACCACAAUAACAAUUUUAUCUCAAACAAUAGUUAGAGGAUUGCAUCUUGUACUCUUCUCCAAAACAUGCAAGUGUGCUAGAGGCUUUGAGUCACAAACCCUCUGAGCAGAGUGAUGAGGGAACAGGGGUGAGGGCGAGGGGCCUGGUCCCUUCCUGUCAGGGUGGUGUUGCACAAGCUUCUAGAGGGUGCAAGAAACCACAGGGAAGUUUGCCUACAGUCACAGUCACGGGACCGGUCUGGGGAGAGUGAGGGCAGUUCAGCCGUGUAGUUCGCCUGGCCCCGGCUUAGGGCUGCUCCCUCCACGAACCAUCCACAAAUAAGGACCUCACAAAGGCACCGCUGCCCGAGAGCUGAGGACCAGUAAUCAGGACACUUCGUUUAAAAAGUGUCCCCAGCCCUCUCUGGUUUCAGGGGAGGGCGGGGAGGGCUGCAGCGUCACCAGGUGACUGUUGCAGCAGCGCAUGGCGGGGGCGCGGGCCGGGAACCAGUCAGACCGGCCCUGAAACGCGGUCCUCGCUCCUUAGCCGCGACUUUGGACAGGCGAGUCUCCCUUUCCCGAGUCUGUUUCGUCGCCGGUAACGCAGUUUUUAAAGACGUUUACUUCGCAGAGUGAAUAUGACAUGAGUGUUCGGACGGAGCCGGGCACCGGGGCGCUCUCGGCAGGACCGCUCACUGUUACGGUCACUCGCCGCU